CUUCGCGCCCCAGCCGCCCCAUGGACGGACUACAAGUCCCAGCAGGUUGUGCGGCCCGCGCAAGCGCGGGAGGGCCACGCCGCUCCGGCCCCCCGCAGCCGCUCGUGGGUCCCUGCGGAGCUGUCGCCGCGGCCUGGCUGGCGGCCUGGGGCUCUCGGGAGCUCUGUAGCGGAGAGGAAGGCGGCCGAGGGAAAAGCGAGCUUAGUGCAGCUCUUGUUGAGGCGUGGAGCUACAGGCGGCUGCAAGACCCUCUGGGCCAACCCUCUGUUUGCCCGGUUUGCAGAGGGAAACUGAGGCGGGGGCAAGGGCGCGCAGGAUUGCCUUUCCCCUCGUGAGCAGGGUAGGAUUCGGGCACGGGGCUCCUGACUCCAGGUCUAAGGCCGCACACCCCAGGCUCUGGCGCGCCGCCCCGGCUGGCGCCUUGGUCUGGCUCGACUGGCGCCCGGGGAGGGGGCGCGUCCCACGCCAGGGCAGUCCGGGCCCAGCCCCCGCUGUGACCGACUGCCCUCUGUGACGUCAGCAGCGUCCCUCUACCCUGAAGAGCGGCCAGGAGCGAGGCCAGAGGACAGUGGCUCCUGGGGAGAGCUGAAGUCUUGGAGAAGUAGCCAUGGGCAAGGCCAGUCGGCCUCAGCCACACGGUCUCAGCCACACACACCCUAGAAACCCAGAAGCCUUGGCUGGGUGGCUGGUCUGCAGCUGCAGGGUUCCAACGCCUGCCCACUGGGGCCUUGUGCCCAGAACGCAGGUGUUAUAUGAUGGAAGGAGCACUAGAAGGGGUCAGAUAUCCUGUUUCCCACCCAGCUCCCGCUCUCAGCCGUGGGACCUUGAGCAAAUCCCUUUGUCUGUGGGCAUGGGGGCCCCAUCUGUGACGUGGCUGGGUGAAGGAUCCACAGCUGGCGGAGAGCAUUCAAUUUGGGUUGUUAGUCCUGGCAGGGCAGAUGGGACCAGUAGGGGUAGAGGCCCUAGGGGUCUGACCGCCUGCCUGGUGGGGAGCCUGGUUUCUCCAUCUGCUGGUGCAAGAAACCUCUGUCUCAGUGCUCAGUGUUGAGGAUUGCACCAGCUGAUGCAUGCUGUGCCCCAGCGUGAGCUGAGAUCAAUAAAUAUUUUUGAUGUUAUCCUGCUAUUAGUAUUACUCUCAGUGCCUUACAUAGGGCCUGGCACAGAGUGGGUGCGAUACAAAUACCUGUUGAGUAAAAGAAGAGAAGGUUGGAGGGAAGGAGAGAGGGGCUGACACUCAGCACCUGGCCCCUCCGGACCAUCACCCUGGGAGGCAGGCCGGAGCACCUCUGGGACCCUUUGUCCUCUUUAGGAAGCUCCCCACAGGGAGGUGGGGACCGGCACUUGCUUACGAGUCCCUGUGAGUCAGAGGGUGGACAUAGUGGCCCAGUUCCUGGCCGGUCCCAGAGCUUAGCCUGCUGUGUGGCCGCCUAGGCCUCCCUGUGGAGCCAGUCCCGCCUCUCCGAGCAACCACCUUCAAAUGGGGCGGGCGCUGGGGAGUCACAGCAGUCCUCGGCUUGGAGGGACCUCAGGGUCAUGUGGUUCCAGCACAUUCUUUCAUGAGGGCAGAACCUAAGGCCGAAGGAGGUCCUGCCCAGAGUCACCAGGCAGGUUAGCGGCAAGGGAGGGGCUCCAGCCGGGUGUCCUGUAGCCGAGCCACCACCCCUCUGCCCUCACUCGGCCGGCUCCCAGCAGGGUGAACUGCCAGUGGGCCGGGCUGCUCGCUGCUUCCUCCCGGGCGUCUGUUGAGGGGCGUCGAUUUGGGGAGACUGAGCCAGACUUUGGUUCCCACCCCAGUGCUGCAAAAGGGGUGACCUUGGGCAACUAGCCUGCUCUCUCUGUGCCUAUUUCCUUAUCCUUCCAACCCCAGCACCUGCCCCAUAGGGCUGUUAGAGGACUGAAUGGGUGAUGCGAGUAAACCCUGCAGAGCGCCCGACGAGAAGUGAGGGCUCCGGAAGUGAUGGCUAUUAUUAUAAUGUUGUUAUUGAAACCGACCAGGGAGCAAGAUGUGCCCUUGCUUCCCCUCGGAGACUGCUGCCUUUUCUCACUGGUCUUUCAUUUAUCCAUCCAUCAACAUUUACAGAACAUCCCCAGUGUACUGGGCACUGUUCUUGUGAAGAAAACAGACAAGAAUUUGUUUCGCGAGUCACAGGAUCCAUUGUAGAAAAUGCUGCCACCUGCUUUUCGAGCAGACCCUGGGGGAGGGGGUGUCAGAGGGCCUUCGAGGAGCCCCUUGACACAAGGAGGCCCCAGACAGGCUAACAGUCAAACCAAGAUCCUUUCAGUGUUUGUUAAGAGUGCGUUCAGGAGAGCUGGCUGGCUGGUCCAGGUGCAGGAGGAGGAGCAGGAGGCGGGGAGGGGCGGCCCUUGCUGCCUCCCACCAUCGUCCUCCUGCCCGGGCCACACCUGCAGACAGAGGGGACACCCUGCAUCACCCAGGCCUCUCCUGCAGACAGGGCUCCUCAGGGUGCCCCAUACCUAAAGCACUCAUCAAACGGUCCCGUUGGGUUAUCCCCCAUCUCCUUUCACUGGGGGUUCCCUUCAAGCCCCUCACAGGUGGGUGCCCCAGGCAGCGGCCCUGCUGGCCCCUCCACCCGGCUCCAUGCCCGCCCUGGAUGCACAUGCCUCUGCCUUAUGUCCUGCCAAAUGUUUCAAUUGGUUUAAUCCUGACGCCCCUGGAAGUAGGGCAGUGGGCUUCUACCCUACAGGCUUGGAGAGGGGCCGAGACUGGGCCAGGCCCUACUUGGGAAGCACAGAGGGGUGGAGCUUUCCACGGGACCUGCACACUAGGACCCUGGCUGGCAGGAGCCUCCAGCCUGCAGCGCUGGCGGCCUUCCUCCCUCUGGGCACAGGCCUUGGGCGCUGGGCCUGCCUCCUGUGCUCCCCGGCCACCUUUGGGAUUAGGAGGCCCUCAGAGCGGGGCACCUCCACCUUCCCCCUGCUUUGUGGCCUGUGCUCUCCUUGUCCAAACCUGGGCACCGGGGGGAGAGUGGUGUAACGGGGCUGAGAUGCCCAAGCGCCUGGGUCAUAAAGGAGGACGUGCCCUGUGCCAGCAGGCAGGGGCCAGAAGCUCAGGAGGCCAGGAGAGGAGGGUGGGACCUGGGGGAAACACGGGGCUCCACCCCACCCACCUCUUCUAAGUGUCCUCAGCACUUGUUAUGGGAUGUGGGUUGUUCCAGUGAUGGAGGGAGCGGAGGAUGGGGAGGCAGAUCCAGACCCGUGGCCAGCUUGGUUCCAGGGUCUGUCUUCCUCAGCUGCGCUCUGCUCUCCCGUGGGCACCGAGGUGUACAUGUGGGGCUCCUUUCCUGGUAACUCAGAG
This 3316-nucleotide long non-coding RNA is filed under the name Equus caballus (horse). Its description in RNAcentral is "lncRNA (ENSECAG00000039302.3)". The record is from RNAcentral. Lineage: Eukaryota; Metazoa; Chordata; Mammalia; Perissodactyla; Equidae.